Molecule: ribosomal RNA, 529 nt
Filed under: uncultured archaeon
Lineage: Archaea
Description: bacterial SSU rRNA
Rfam family: Archaeal small subunit ribosomal RNA
Source: RNAcentral
CUGGUGUCAGCCGCCGCGGUAAUACCAGCUCCCCGAGUGGUUGGGACGAUUAUUGGGUCUAAAGCGUUCGUAGCCGGUUGGAGAAGUUCUCCGUUAAAUCCAACGAUUCAAUCGUUGGGCCGCGGAGAUUACUCUUCAGCUUGGGGGCGGAGGAUGUCGACGGUAGUCCUGGGGUAGGGGCGAAAUCCUAUAAUCCCGGGAGGACCACCAGUGGCGAAGGCGGUCGACAAAUACGCGCCCGACGGUGAGGGACGAAAGCUGGGGGAGCGAACGGGAUUAGAUACCCCGGUAGUCCCAGCUGUAAACGAUGCAGGCUAGGUGUUAGAACGGCUACGGGCCGUUCUAGUGCCGCAGGGAAGCCGUUAAGUCUGCCACCUGGGAAGUACGGUCGCAAGGCUGAAACUUAAAGGAAUUGGCGGGAGAGCACCACAAGGGGUGAAGCCUGCGGUUUAAUUGGAGUCAACCCCGGGAACCUUACCAGGAGCGACAGUUGGAUGAAGGUCAGAUUAAAGGUCUUACCGGACUAGCU